AGAAGCAAUACCGCGAGGUGGAGCAAAACUUCAAAAAUAGGUCUCAGUUCGGACUGUAGGCUGCAACUCGCCUACACGAAGUUGGAAUUGCUAGUAAUGGCAGGUCAGCAUACUGCCGUGAAUACGUUCCCGGGCCUUGUACACACCGCCCGUCACACCAUGAGAGUUGGGGAUACCCGAAGCCUGUGAGCUAACUUUUAGAGGCAGCAGUCGAAGGUAGAAUCAAUGAUUGGGGUGAAGUCGUAACAAGGUAUC
Molecule: ribosomal RNA, 255 nt
Filed under: uncultured bacterium
Lineage: Bacteria
Description: partial 16S ribosomal RNA
Rfam family: Bacterial small subunit ribosomal RNA
Source: RNAcentral